UAAGUAAAAGCCAAACAAGAGGCGCCUAGCUGUUAAUUAGGAGACUGUAAAUAUAUUACUUACUUAG
RNAcentral lists this transfer RNA (67 nucleotides) under Melarhaphe neritoides. RNAcentral's name for it is "tRNA-Asn". The record is from RNAcentral. Lineage: Eukaryota; Metazoa; Mollusca; Gastropoda; Littorinimorpha; Littorinidae.